RNAcentral lists this ribosomal RNA (253 nucleotides) under uncultured bacterium. RNAcentral describes it as "partial 16S ribosomal RNA". It matches the Rfam family "Bacterial small subunit ribosomal RNA", at positions 524 to 776 of the family's 1533-position model. The record is from RNAcentral.
UACGUAGGGGGCAAGCGUUGUUCGGAAUUAUUGGGCGUAAAGGGCGCGUAGGCGGUUGGUUAAGUCAGCUGUGAAAUCCCGAGGCUCAACCUCGGAACUGCGUCUGAAACUACUCGACUAGAGUACUGGAGAGGGUAACGGAAUUCACGGUGUAGCAGUGAAAUGCGUAGAUAUCGUGAGGAACACCAGAGGCGAAGGCGGUUACCUGGACAGUUACUGACGCUCAGGCACGAAAGCAUGGGGAGCAAACAGG